Meriones unguiculatus (Mongolian gerbil) is the source of this 1213-nucleotide long non-coding RNA. RefSeq lists it as uncharacterized. The transcript has 2 exons. Lineage: Eukaryota; Metazoa; Chordata; Mammalia; Rodentia; Muridae. The record is from RefSeq and is a predicted model, not a curated record.
CCCACCCUACCCCGUGUGCCUUGAGGCUUGAGGUGACAGAGGGCGCUCAACUGCAAGUCCAUCCGGGAGGGGCGGUACCAUCUCACUGCCACUCUCUGUGAAACUUCACUUUUGGAAGUACACUGGUAGGUGCCUAAAGAGACCACAACCUCCAGGACAAGGACUGGGAGAUGCACCUCCCUGGUGUUUUCAAACUAUCCAGAUAAGGCAUAGAAUUUUCAGACCUCACACCUUCCCAACUAACUCCUCCACGUCUGUCUUUGCGACUAUUCAGGAGCACUGGCUGCUUCCAGGUCUCUUUCUUUUGUCUUCUCCUCCUAGGAACUCCUGAAAAGGCUCUGGGGAGGUGGACUAAGGUACUGAACCUGCCUUUCAUUUGACUUUGUUGGUUCACAGAUUAAGAAAAUGAAGAUAAUACCUGCCCGGCUACCUGUAAUUAUCUAGACUUCUAAAUAUGCCCAGAUUUUAAAUUGCUGUUAUUAACCGUGACACUGCGAUAAGCGACUUCUGGGGCUUCUGUGGUGCAUCCUCUUCCUUCCAGGGCAUGACAGGUAUCUGCAGGAAAGGGCUGGGCAGAACUUUCUAUGUUCACCUCAGCUUCAGGAAUAAAGGGGAAAAGGAAGAAAAACCCCACAAAAAUACGUCUGUGAUCCAUCCUCCUCUUCGGUCUCUUCAUGCCUCGUCCCCAGGUGACUCCACAGUCCUCAACUCUGAAGUUCAGAAGGGACUGGACAGCCAGCCCAUGCAUUAAGCUGACUACUCUGAACAGAGGUUCUAUGGGUUGCCUUUACUCUGGGUGCAUUUUAAGGAUAUAGUUUGUUUUUGUUUGCCAUUCUCUGGAUUCUUGCAUGAAGUAACAUGUUAAGGAUAUGGCUGACCCCAGGUGCCCUCUCUUAUGAGACCUUCAGCUUAUACAUCUCUCAUAAGAGGAGCUGCUCACGAAAACCUUGUCCAAACUUGUUGAUGCUACUGUGUCUUAAUUGCCCCAAACUAUUUUACAGUGUUCCCAAACAGUGCUUUCUUUUUUAAAAAACAGAUUAUUAAGAGUAUAUCUGUACCAAGAAGACAAGGACAAGAAGAUUAAUGGAAACUGUAUUUGAAGCAGCCCUAAUGUGGAAACAACCUCACGUGUUCAUUAACAGAAAAAUAGGUGAAUUGGGAUGUAUAUAUAAAUUGUGUAUUUAUACAACAAUAAACAUAAAGAAGCCCCCUU